RNAcentral lists this long non-coding RNA (594 nucleotides) under Setaria viridis. RNAcentral's name for it is "long non-coding RNA (SVIR_LNC002640)". Lineage: Eukaryota; Viridiplantae; Streptophyta; Magnoliopsida; Poales; Poaceae. The record is from RNAcentral.
UCUCAUGCCACGUGCGUGAGCACCACGGAGAAGAAAGGAUAAUAGUGGCACGGGUGGCUGACAUGUGGGGCCGGACGGUCAGCGGCUGCGGCGUGGAGGCGGUUUGGCCAGAAAAUUGGAGGUUCAGGAAUAUGAAAACCGGAAGUUCCGGUUUUGCACCAUUGGGUUGUUAGAUAGGUGGGCUGAUGAGGUUAGUUGGGUUGAUUGGUCCCAGGUUAGGUUUGGUUAGCUUUUGAUUUGUAUUUGAAUUCCAAUUCAAAUACAAAUCCCACUCAAACAAAUCCAAAUAAACUUCAAAUAUUCACACUAGCACAUAAUACACCUUAGCAAUUCAAUUUAAUUCAUAACUUAAUUCUAUGAAUUUUCGGAAAGAUUCAAUGAUGACACUCUUAUAAUUUGGAAGUUUCACUCCACAGUACAAAAUUUUUGAAAUCCACAUUUUUUGCAAAUUCAAAACAUCUCGUAAAAAUACGGGAUAUUACGAUACACUACGUGGCACCACUUCCAUUGUGGUGUUGGCGCAAAAAUCAGGCCAACACAUGAACGCACUCAAACAUGCGGCGCUCAGAGGGGCUCCUUGUAGCUCAUUUGUGC